CAGAUGCCCAAUCACCCUCCUCACCACCCACGGCCACCCUCAGCCCACCUGCCUGCAGGGCCUUCCAGGGGUCUGGGGCUGCCUCCCCACCAGGAGGUUGAAUGACAACAAGGCAAACACUGGACCUGGCUCAGCUCUGUACUCUCUCCCCUCCACUGCCUGCCCUCAAGCAGCUUAGAGUCUUAAAGGAGAGUUAACAAGUACGUGAGCAGGUACAGUUCUGUGAAAUAAAGGCAACAAUAGUGCAGUGUAGGAGCCUACAGAGGAAGAGAGAGGCCAGCAGAGGCUUCCUGGAGGGACAGAUGUGUGGUCUGAGCAAGAAUUUGUCAGGUGGGGAGGGGAUAGACGGACAUAUUGCAGGUGGCACAGCCAGAACGCGUGAAGGCACAGGUGGAAGAAAGCGUCUUCCUUUUUCCAAAGUCUGACCAGAAUUUAUCACAACUGCACCCUGAAGCACAACUGAUGGAGAAGAAAGAGAAGUCGAAGAAGACACACCAGCACCAGAUGCAAAGGGCCCUCGAGCCAUUCCAGGGAGCUCAAGCACGGCCCCGAAGAUGAUGGGAGCAUUUAUGGUGUUUAGGCAGAAGAGGGACAUCUGCACAUUGCCCUUUGGGGACAUCACCUGGGCUUCACUGCGGAAACCAGACGGCAGGGCCACACAUCCGGCCAGCCCUCCAAAGCCCUAGGGCCCCCUUUGAUGGGGAUCAAUGCUGGUUUGCACUUCUCAGACACAAAGCACAGCCUACUCCCUCCCACGUUUGCUUCUCCCAAGAAACUGCAGAGAUGGGGGAAUAUUGCCCCGAUUUCAUAGAUGAGAAAACUGAGGCAUAGUGAGGUCAGCAGCUGUGCCCCCACAGCUAUGGAAGCAGUAGAGCUGGGACACGAAGCCAGCUCUUUGGACUCCACGCUCAGUGCCCCACAGAAGAGGUGAGAAGCCAUGCCAGGAGGGGCUGCUACUCACACUGGGCACUGCUGCUCGAGCCAGGCCGCAACUCUUCUCCUGAUGCAGGGUCCACACACCAGCAGUUCCGAAGAUCAAAAUGUGCCAAAGGAGUGCUGAAGUCUGAGUAGGACCCCGGGUAUUGGCUGAGUUGGCCAUUUAAGAUCUGCCAGAAGAGGUAGG
Molecule: long non-coding RNA, 1123 nt
Filed under: Homo sapiens (human)
Lineage: Eukaryota; Metazoa; Chordata; Mammalia; Primates; Hominidae
Description: HSALNT0144192
Source: RNAcentral